AUACGGAGGGUGCAAGCGUUACUCGGAAUCACUGGGCGUAAAGGAUGCGUAGGCGGAUAAUCAAGUCAAAAGUGAAAUCCCACGGCUUAACCGUGGAACUGCUUUCGAAACUGGUUAUCUAGAAUAUGGAAGAGGCAGAUGGAAUUAGUGGUGUAGGGGUAAAAUCCGUAGAGAUCACUAGGAAUACCGAUUGCGAAGGCGAUCUGCUGGGACAUUAUUGACGCUGAGGCAUGAAAGCGUGGGGAGCAAACAGGAUUAGAAACCCGGGUAGUCC
This 274-nucleotide ribosomal RNA is filed under the name uncultured bacterium. RNAcentral's name for it is "partial 16S ribosomal RNA". It matches the Rfam family "Bacterial small subunit ribosomal RNA", at positions 523 to 796 of the family's 1533-position model. The record is from RNAcentral.